Molecule: ribosomal RNA, 96 nt
Filed under: uncultured bacterium
Lineage: Bacteria
Description: partial 16S ribosomal RNA
Rfam family: Bacterial small subunit ribosomal RNA
Source: RNAcentral
CGCCGCGUGAGCGAUGAAGCCCUUCGGGGUGUAAAGCUCUUUCGACGGGAACGAUAAUGACGGUACCCGAAGAAGAAGCUGCGGCUAACUACGUGC